Molecule: ribosomal RNA, 253 nt
Filed under: uncultured bacterium
Lineage: Bacteria
Description: partial 16S ribosomal RNA
Rfam family: Bacterial small subunit ribosomal RNA
Source: RNAcentral
UACGAAGGGUGCAAACGUUGCUCGGAAUUAUUGGGCGUAAAGCGCACGUAGGCGGCUUUGCAAGUCGGAUGUGAAAUCCCUCGGCUUAACCAAGGAAGUGCAUCCGAAACUGCAGAGCUUGAGUACUGUAGAGGAAGGUGGAAUUUCCGGAGUAGCAGUGAAAUGCGUAGAUAUCGGAAGGAACAUCAGUGGCGAAGGCGACUUUCUGGACAGAUACUGACACUGAGGCACGAAAGCGUGGGGAGCGAACAGG